UACAGAGGGUGCGAGCGUUAUUCGGAAUUACUGGGCGUAAAGCGCGCGUAGGCGGCUUUGCAAGUCGGGUGUGAAAUCCCCAGGCUUAACCUGGGAACUGCAUUCGAGACUGCAUUGCUAGAGUAUGGGAGAGGGAAGUGGAAUUUCCGGUGUAGCGGUGAAAUGCGUAGAUAUCGGAAGGAACAUCAGUGGCGAAAGCGACUUCCUGGACCAAUACUGACGCUCAUGUGCGAAGGCGUGGGGAGCAAACAGG
This 253-nucleotide ribosomal RNA is filed under the name uncultured bacterium. Its description in RNAcentral is "partial 16S ribosomal RNA". It matches the Rfam family "Bacterial small subunit ribosomal RNA", at positions 524 to 776 of the family's 1533-position model. The record is from RNAcentral.